CCUACGGGUGGCAGCAGUGGGGAAUAUUGCACAAUGGGGGAAACCCUGAUGCAGCGACGCCGCGUGAGUGAAGAAGUAUUUCGGUGUGUAAAGCUCUAUCAGCAGGGAAGAAAAUGACGGUACCUGAUUAAGAAGCCCCGGCUAACUACGUGCCAGCAGCCGCGGUAAUACGUAGGGGGCAAGCGUUAUCCGGAUUUACUGGGGGUAAAGGGAGCGUAGACGGCAGCACAAGUCUGGAGGGAAAUGCCGGGGCUUAAACCCGGGACUGCUUUGGAAACUGUGCAGGUAGAGUGCAGGAGAGGUUAGUGGAAGUCCCAGUGUAGCGGUUGAAUGCGGAGAUAGUAGGAGGAACACCAGUGGCGAAGGCGGCUUUAUGGGAUGUAACCGACGGUGAGGCUCGAAAGCGUGGGGAGCAAACAGGAUUAGAUACCCCAGUAGUC
Molecule: ribosomal RNA, 440 nt
Filed under: uncultured bacterium
Lineage: Bacteria
Description: partial 16S ribosomal RNA
Rfam family: Bacterial small subunit ribosomal RNA
Source: RNAcentral